Molecule: long non-coding RNA, 285 nt
Organism: Mobula hypostoma (lesser devil ray)
Lineage: Eukaryota; Metazoa; Chordata; Chondrichthyes; Myliobatiformes; Myliobatidae
Exons: 3
Source: RefSeq, a predicted model, not a curated record
AGAGCAGAAGAUUUCAUUGAGGCACGUCUGCAGUGAAUGUGAUAAAGUUUCCUUGAUGUUGUAGAUGACAGACGGAAGAAAUCAUUCCUCAUGUCCUACACAGAGCACCCAGAAGAUGUGGAUGUGAUCACAGGAAAAAUGUGCAAACUCCACAAAGACAGCACAUGAGGGGCUGCCUGAUCAGCUGAGUUUUUCCAGUACUUUUUGGUUUUGCCACCACAGUAGCAUAGCGGUUGGAGCAACGCUGACAGCUCGGGGCGUUGGAGUUCAGAGUUCAAUUCUGGC